Molecule: ribosomal RNA, 437 nt
Filed under: uncultured Oscillospiraceae bacterium
Lineage: Bacteria; Bacillati; Bacillota; Clostridia; Eubacteriales; Oscillospiraceae
Description: partial 16S ribosomal RNA
Rfam family: Bacterial small subunit ribosomal RNA
Source: RNAcentral
ACGGGAGGCAGCAGUGGGGAAUAUUGGGCAAUGGGCGAAAGCCUGACCCAGCAACGCCGCGUGAAGGAAGAAGGUUUUCGGAUUGUAAACUUCUUUUAUCAGGGACGAGGGAAGUGACGGUACCCGAUGAAUAAGCCACGGCUAACUACGUGCCAGCAGCCGCGGUAAUACGUAGGUGGCAAGCGUUAUCCGGAUUUACUGGGUGUAAAGGGCGCGUAGGCGGGGAUGCAAGUCAGAUGUGAAAUCCAUGGGCUUAACCCAUGAACUGCAUUUGAAACUGUAUUUCUUGAGUGUCGGAGAGGUAGACGGAAUUCCUAGUGUAGCGGUGAAAUGCGUAGAUAUUAGGAGGAACACCAGUGGCGAAGGCGGUCUACUGGACGAUAACUGACGCUGAGGCGCGAAAGCGUGGGGAGCAAACAGGAUUAGAUACCCUGGUA